RNAcentral lists this ribosomal RNA (903 nucleotides) under Strombidium inclinatum. Its description in RNAcentral is "partial Bacterial small subunit ribosomal RNA". It matches the Rfam family "Bacterial small subunit ribosomal RNA", at positions 197 to 1116 of the family's 1533-position model. The record is from RNAcentral. Lineage: Eukaryota; Ciliophora; Spirotrichea; Strombidiidae.
UUUAUUUAUGAAAUGCGCUUACUGGGACGAGAGUUGCUGAGGUAGGUAAUUAGUGGAGACUGCCCACUAAGCCGAAGACGUCUAGCUGGGUUGUGAGAUUGUCCAGUCACAUGGGAGCUGAAAAACAUCCCACCGUCGGCAGCAGUGGAGAAUCUUGGUCAAUGAACGAAAGUUUGAACCAGCAUAUUGCGUAAGAUGAAAAGUCAAAUUAUAAGGCUGUGAAGGCUACGAAAGCUGUAAAGUCUGGCUGCGAGCCAAAAUAAUGACAUUAAGCACGUGAAAAUCCCGGGCUAAGAAGGUGCCAGCAGCUGCGGUAAUACCUUAUCGGGGGAGCGUUAUUGGCCUUUACUGAGCGUAUAGUAUGGCUAGACGAUCUAAGAAGUUGCGAAAUAAAUCAAAAAUCAUGAGCUGAUCUAUUCGUAAUACCUUAGUAUAAGAGAGAGUAAGGAGUUGAUAAUACUUAUAGUAUAGAGAUAAAAUAUUAUAAUACUAUUAGGGAUUCUCGACAGCCUCGGCAAUCUUCUAUUAUUCUCUUUCGUCGAACCAUUUAAGUAUAAGUAUCGAAUAGGAUUUGAGACCCUAGUAGUUUAUACCUUGAAUCAAUGGGUAUCAUAUGUGGAAAAAUUUAUUUUUGCGUAUACGUUAACGCUUGAAUACCUCGCUUGGAGAGUAAGGCUGCAAAGGUUAAACUUAAACAGAUUGGCGGGAGUUUGUUUGAACGGUGGAGCGUGUGGAUUAAUUCGAUAAUCCGCGCCUAAUCUUACCAACGUAUUGAAAAGUUUUGUAGUAAUAUUUAGUGGUAUGUUACGAAAUACUUUAAAUUGGUACUGCAUGGCUGUCGUAAGCUCGUGUUGUGAAAUGUCCUAUUAAUUUAUCCAACGAACGCAACCUUUUAUAUAAGUU